This 253-nucleotide ribosomal RNA is filed under the name uncultured bacterium. RNAcentral describes it as "partial 16S ribosomal RNA". It matches the Rfam family "Bacterial small subunit ribosomal RNA", at positions 524 to 776 of the family's 1533-position model. The record is from RNAcentral.
UACGAAGGGGGCUAGCGUUGUUCGGAAUUACUGGGCGUAAAGCGCGCGCAGGCGGUCUUCCAAGUCAGUGGUGAAAGCCCGGAGCUCAACUCCGGAACUGCCAUUGAAACUGCAAGACUUGAGGAUGAGAGAGGUGAGUGGAAUUCCCAGUGUAGAGGUGAAAUUCGUAGAUAUUGGGAAGAACACCGGUGGCGAAGGCGGCUCACUGGCUCAUUACUGACGCUCAGGCGCGACAGCGUGGGGAUCAAACAGG